CCUACGGGAGGCAGCAGUGAGGAAUAUUGGUCAAUGGACGAGAGCCUGAACCAGCCAAGUAGCGUGAAGGAUGACUGCCCUAUGGGUCGUAAACUUCUUUUAUAAGGGAAUAAAACGAGGCACGUGUGCCUUUUUGCAUGUACUUUAUGAAUAAGGAUCGGCUAACUCCGUGCCAGCAGCCGCGGUAAUACGGAGGAUCCGAGCGUUAUCCGGAUUUAUUGGGUUUAAAGGGGGCGUAGAUGGGUUGGUAAGUCAGUGGUGAAAGUUUGCGGCUCAACCGUAAGAUUGCAAUUGAUACUGGCAGUCUUGAGUACAGUAGAGGUAGGCGGAAUUCGUGGUGUAGCGGUGAAAUGCUUAGAUAUCACGAAGAACCCCGAUUGCGAAGGCAGCUUACUAAACUGUGACUGACAUUGAUGCUCGAAAGUGUGGGUAUCAAACAGGAUUAGAUACCCGUGUAGUC
RNAcentral lists this ribosomal RNA (460 nucleotides) under uncultured bacterium. RNAcentral's name for it is "partial 16S ribosomal RNA". It matches the Rfam family "Bacterial small subunit ribosomal RNA", at positions 338 to 795 of the family's 1533-position model. The record is from RNAcentral.